This 253-nucleotide ribosomal RNA is filed under the name uncultured bacterium. RNAcentral describes it as "partial 16S ribosomal RNA". It matches the Rfam family "Bacterial small subunit ribosomal RNA", at positions 524 to 776 of the family's 1533-position model. The record is from RNAcentral.
UACGUAGGGGGCAAGCGUUGUCCGGAUUCAUUGGGCGUAAAGAGCGUGUAGGCGGCCAGGUAGGUCGGUUGUGAAAACUGGAGGCUCAACCUUCAGAGGUCGACCGAAACCAUCUGGCUAGAGUCCGGGAGAGGAAAGUGGAAUUCCCGGUGUAGUGGUGAUAUGCGUAGAUAUCGGGAGGAACACCUGUGGCGAAGGCGGCUUUCUGGGCCUUACCUGACGCUGAGACGCGAAAGCGUGGGGAGCGAACCGG